Molecule: ribosomal RNA, 774 nt
Filed under: Gammarus cf. fossarum GcfFOS1
Lineage: Eukaryota; Metazoa; Arthropoda; Malacostraca; Amphipoda; Gammaridae
Description: eukaryotic LSU rRNA
Rfam family: Eukaryotic large subunit ribosomal RNA
Source: RNAcentral
UAAGUCAGCCACGAAUAGGCUAUCCCAACUAACGGCGGGAAAGACUCCACGGAGGGUGUAAGACCCGUGUGGGCGCGUGUCAAAGCUGUGCGGGCUCGGCCUCUUUUCCCUGAGAGUCGCGUUGCUUGAGCAUGCAGCGCUAAGCAGGUCGUAAACUCGAUCUAAGGCUAAAUAUCUCCACAGAACCGAUAGCGAACAAGUACCGUGAGGGAAAGUUGAAAAGCACUCUGGAGAGAGAGUCAAAAGACCGUGAAACCGCUCAGAGUAUAAGCCCAUGGCAGCUUGGAAGGCAUAUCGCUAGCGGGGCAUCGGUCUCCCUUCACGGGGAGCUGGUGUUACCUUGCUUCUGUUGUGGCUCGUCAUGGUAGGGGGGUCAAGUCCACAUCCCGCCGUCGUGUGGGGAGUUCUCGGGCGUGUCGUUGCUUUGCGGUUGACUUCGGUUGGCCGUAGGGCUCUUCGCGCUUGGUUCUCCUUUGGUCACGGACGUUCAGACUCAGUUGCAAGACGCGAUAACUAGCCCACCACGGCACGUUGUGAGGUCACCCACAGGCUUGGCUUUCGAUUGUGGUCCUUGACGCCGAGCAAGCACAAUGCGUGUCGCAGAUGUUCCUAACCGGGCAAUGGGCCAGGAUCGUGGAACGACACGCGCUCAAAAGUCAGGACCGGGCGAUGACAAAGUUCUGGUAUGAUCCUCAUGCGACGAGCCGGCUUCUGGCCGAUUCCGAUGCUCAGGUCUCCCGCAUGUGCCGCGGGAGAUCGCUUUGGCGGUCUGGA